CGCUGCUCCUCUUUCCCACGACCACAGUCGCCUCUCCCACGGCCACCACGGCGUCCCGCCUGCGCCGCCUUCCCAUUCUGGUGGGUAACCGUCGCCCCGUCUGGAAGAAGCGUUUGCCCCGCCGCGUGCUGCAGCCGUCGUGCCCGAACUCCCCAUCGUCACUCCGCGCGCCGGCGAGAUCCGAGGUGGAGAGAACCGAUAUCGCCAUCUUGAAAUCCCUCCACGCGCCGAACACGCUUGCCCCGCCGCGCUACAGGAGAUGGGCUGGAACUCUACACUGUCACUCCGCGCGCCGCUCAGAUCGGUGAUUGACAGAACCAGCGUCGGCAGCUCGACCUCCCUCCGCGCGCUGCGCACACCCGUCUCUCUGUAAACCAACUCCGAUGAGCCAGGGAUUGGGGCCACAACGCCAGCUAGCACAGUGGCAUGCCUGAGCCGAACGGAUCGACCAGAAAAUUCUAUAUAUUCUGAGCACCUCGAAGUUCGUAGAAUGUCCAUCUUUGACCUGAGACUCAGUUUUGGGGGUAAUUUCACAAUGGCUGCAUAUUUCUGAAAGUACAAGGAUAAGUACACUGGCUCUAUAUGCAUAGAUUCUUGUUUUGGGGCAAUUUCACAAUUGCUGCAUAUUUCUGAAGCUAAUGGGAGAAGUGGUUGGUCCCAUUUUGUUUAGCAACAGAUCUGAACAAUACUUAUUUCAAAAUUGGAGAAGUUACCAUGGCUCUUAUUUUUCGUGCUUAGAAGCCUAUGGUAACAAGUCAGCUCUCCCAAAAUAUAACCCUAUGCUCAUCUUACUAAACAUAGUUUUUGAACCAUUUGAAUUUCUAAAAUGUAUAUGAUUUUGCUGUCUCAGCUUUACAGAGCAAACAACUUUUUAUUUUCCUAAAAUCUAUUAAGAACCAAGCAACUAUCUUAUUCAUUUUUUUCUUGUAAAUAUGGAAAGGAAGUACUGUUAACAUAUUUUUUGGUUCAGCCGGAUAUUAGUUCUACCUCAGAUCCAGCAGUGGAUUAUUAUUUCUUAUAAAUGAUUUCUCUUUAGAUCAUUACCAGCAUGGAUGAACUUAUAAAUGAAUUUUCUGUAGAAAAAUCAGAUAAAGACCCGGUUAUUGUGUUGGAUUUUCUGAAGAAUAAAUGAAUGCCGCUGGAAGAUUAUAAAACUAAUUCAAAGAAUGACCUAUUGUACCACAAUUCAUGUUCUCAAAGUAUAUGAAGGAGGAUCGACAAUGAGGCCAAGUGGAGGUCUAAUCAACAGCCUAAUUCGAGUUGAUUGAGGAAAAUGAGUUGAUCCUAUCACUACUGUUUCCAAUGAUAUUGAUGAGUGUGUCAUCAAUGGCUAGGGCGAGGGGAGACGUUGAUGCCUCAGUUGUGUUUCUUUUCUCUUCCAAAUUUUGUUCAUUCUAACCUGCAAUAGUUCGUUUGCGGUGCUCAGUUACAUUAUGCCGUGGAUUUUAUUUUCGUUCUGUUAAAAAAUGUACUAUGUGUGCAUGCAAUAUUCAUUGAAAUCAAUUUUCCUUGUUGCUUCAGAUGUAGAGCCGUUUUCAGGCAAGGAGCGGGGUGGUACGCAGCAUUACAACAUAAGAAGGGGCUGUAGGGCGAGGCGAUGUGCACCAGCCAUCUGCGGCUGAAAGGAGUCAUGAGGCCGUCCAGACCACCUUGUGUCGUGCUUGCUCUGUUUCUGGUUGAAGGUUGAGGGACGGCACCGACGGAGCAAGGGUCAUCAAGCUGAGGGGUGAACACGGAGCUGGAGGUGGCACGCGCGGUGAAAGCUGCUAUGAGCUGGUGUAUUUCUGGUCCGAUCUGAUGCGAGUUCGCCGAUGCUUCUGGCUUCUGCCAUGCUACGGCCUGAUAUGAUGUUUCUUGCCUCUGCUUGGAUAAGAUGGGGUCACCGAUUGACAAGUUUUGAUCUGGUCCUAUAUGGUUCAGCUCUUUGUUCCUGUUUGUCUUAGAAGUAGAUUUUCAUGUUUUUUAAGCAUCACCAGAUGAUUAAGAGGUUUGGCACCCAGGUUUGUAUUCUUGAUGUUUUUUUUGCAGAUCUUCUGGAUGUGUUGACAUGACCAUGCACUCUGACAUGUUUUAUGUUCUAUUAAUUGUCUUGAUUUGUUA
Long non-coding RNA from Lolium rigidum, 2100 nucleotides. RefSeq lists it as uncharacterized. The record is from RefSeq and is a predicted model, not a curated record. Lineage: Eukaryota; Viridiplantae; Streptophyta; Magnoliopsida; Poales; Poaceae. The transcript is spliced from 4 exons.